Small nuclear RNA from Octodon degus (degu), 107 nucleotides. The record is from Ensembl. Lineage: Eukaryota; Metazoa; Chordata; Mammalia; Rodentia; Octodontidae.
GCGCUAGCUUUGGCAGCACAUAUACUAAAAUCGGAACGAUACAUUGAAGAUUAACAUGUCCCCUGAGCAAGGAUGACAUGCAAAUUUGUGAAGCUUUCCAUAUAUUU